UCCCCGGAUGGUAUAAUAUUUCAGGUCGAAUUUUUAAUUGUGGAUGCGUGCACACUCUAAUGAUAUCCACGAUACAAUGCACUAUAACGAAUUAUUCGUUUGAGAACUACAAACAAACAAACUACAGACAUGGCGAAUGCGCGUGUUUAAGAUAAGUGGGUUUGAGUUGAGCACUCAACAUUUAACCUGAAAAUCAGAGUUGUUCGCAUCAAGAACUGUUUUAUCUGUCAAGAACCGCUGCACGCAGAUCAACGUGAUACCAUCUCUCCAAAAGCUCAUGGCUGUUGCUGCCCAUGCCAUCAGGUGCUAUGAAUCCUGGAGACGCACCUACAUAAAGAAGCUCAUGGCUGUUGCUGCCCAUGCCAUCAGGUGCUAUGAAUCCUGGAGACGCACCUACAUAAAGAAGACUGCGAGCACCCAAAGCAUCUGCGGUUGUGGAGAAGCCUACAGCUGCACUCAGUUGCACUUCACCACCAGCUGAGGAAACACGAAAAAG
Molecule: long non-coding RNA, 496 nt
Organism: Carassius auratus (goldfish)
Lineage: Eukaryota; Metazoa; Chordata; Actinopteri; Cypriniformes; Cyprinidae
Exons: 5
Source: RefSeq, a predicted model, not a curated record